AGGUCAGCAUACUGCCGUGAAUACGUUCCCGGGCCUUGUACACACCGCCCGUCACACCAUGAGAGUUGGAAAUACCCGAAGCCUGUGAGCUAACAGUAAUGAGGCAGCAGUCGAAGGUAGAGCCAAUGAUUGGGGUGAAGUCGUAACAAGGUACC
This 155-nucleotide ribosomal RNA is filed under the name uncultured bacterium. Its description in RNAcentral is "partial 16S ribosomal RNA". It matches the Rfam family "Bacterial small subunit ribosomal RNA", at positions 1346 to 1500 of the family's 1533-position model. The record is from RNAcentral.